AGUGAACGCUGGCGGUAGGCCUAACACAUGCAAGUCGAACGGCAGCACAGUAAGAGCUUGCUCUUACGGGUGGCGAGUGGCGGACGGGUGAGGAAUACAUCGGAAUCUACUUUUUCGUGGGGGAUAACGUAGGGAAACUUACGCUAAUACCGCAUACGACCUACGGGUGAAAGCAGGGGAUCUUCGGACCUUGCGCGAUUGAAUGAGCCGAUGUCGGAUUAGCUAGUUGGCGGGGUAAAGGCCCACCAAGGCGACGAUCCGUAGCUGGUCUGAGAGGAUGAUCAGCCACACUGGAACUGAGACACGGCCCAGACUCCUACGGGAGGCAGCAGUGGGGAAUAUUGGAAAAUGGGCGCAAGCCUGAUCCAGCCAUACCGCGUGGGUGAAGAAGGCCUUCGGGUUGUAAAGCCCUUUUGUUGGGAAAGAAAAGCAGCAGGUUAAUACCCCGCUGUUCUGACGGUACCCAAAGAAUAAGCACCGGCUAACUUCGU
RNAcentral lists this ribosomal RNA (491 nucleotides) under uncultured bacterium. RNAcentral's name for it is "partial 16S ribosomal RNA". It matches the Rfam family "Bacterial small subunit ribosomal RNA", at positions 29 to 506 of the family's 1533-position model. The record is from RNAcentral.